GAUGAACGCUGGCGGCGUGCCUAAUACAUGCAAGUCGAGCGAAUGGAUUAAGAGCUUGCUCUUAUGAAGUUAGCGGCGGACGGGUGAGUAACACGUGGGUAACCUGCCCAUAAGACUGGGAUAACUCCGGGAAACCGGGGCUAAUACCGGAUAACAUUUUGAACCGCAUGGUUCGAAAUUGAAAGGCGGCUUCGGCUGUCACUUAUGGAUGGACCCGCGUCGCAUUAGAUAGUUGGUGAGGUAACGGCUCACCAAGGCAACGAUGCGUAGCCGGACUGAGAGGGUGAUCGGCCACACGGGGACUGAGACACGGCCCAGACUCCUACGGGAGGCAGCAGUAGGGAAUCUUCCGCAAUGGACGAAAGUCUGACGGAGCAACGCCGCGUGAGUGAGGAAGGCUUUCGGGUCGUAAAACUCUGUUGUUAGGGAAGAACAAGUGCUAGUUGAAUAAGCUGGCACCUUGACGGUACCUAACCAGAAAGCCACGGCUAACUACGUGCCAGCCGCCGCAGUAA
RNAcentral lists this ribosomal RNA (515 nucleotides) under uncultured bacterium. RNAcentral describes it as "partial 16S ribosomal RNA". It matches the Rfam family "Bacterial small subunit ribosomal RNA", at positions 28 to 523 of the family's 1533-position model. The record is from RNAcentral.